GACUGGUUUUGACAGCGGGCAGGAAGAAUGUGUAAGCAUGCAGUGGGUCGUAAGUUCUCACUUAAAUCAUAGCUUUCAACAAUUUAGUUGGCGAAAAUAGACUCGCUCUCGCUGCCUGAUUGAAGUACAGUAGAUCAGCUCAAUCCUGAGAUAUAUCUCGGGACGGGACAUCGCUCCGUAACCGUUAUUCCGAGGUUCAUGGGCUAAGCGGUGCUCGCAAAUCGGAGUAAAGCUGCAUACGCAUUGCGCCGGACAGGUUAAACAAACAGCGCAUUUAGGACAAGGGAUUACGUAUGGCGUUUACGCGCCUUUGUCCGAAUUUCAAACAUCGCCUAAGCAUGUAGAAAGCAUAUUAGUCCCCCGUUUGGACGAGAGUUCGAUUCUCUCCUGGUCCAC
RNAcentral lists this transfer-messenger RNA (396 nucleotides) under bovine gut metagenome. It matches the Rfam family "transfer-messenger RNA". Rfam says of the family: Bacterial tmRNA, also known as 10Sa RNA or SsrA, is named for its dual tRNA and mRNA-like properties. Its role is to liberate the mRNA from a stalled ribosome. The record is from RNAcentral.